GUCUCAGUAUUAUUCAUCGAUCCGAGACUGAAAUCGGAUUGUUUCGGACCUACAAUUUGGUAUCAGAGCCACGGUGGCUCGUUUCAGUUUUGGUUUGGUCGGUUCUUCACCGGAAAUCCGCCGGAGACGUUAAAAUGAAGUGUAGAUCUGUUUUUGAUGCAUUUUCAGAUCCGGCGACUUUAAUUGUUGAUCCAACGAUUUUGUUCUUCAAGGUUUAGAGAGAGUAUCAGGGUAGAGAAAUAGAUCUGGAGAGAGUUCAUUAUUUCCUGUGAUUUUUCUUGGUUCCGGUAACGGUGGGGCACUAAGUUAAUGAAGGUCACUUGUGGCUUUCGGCAGCUUAGGGUGGUCGCAGGUAACCGGUUAUUUUGUGUUUCUCGAGUGGCGCAUGAUUAGUGACCCAUGAUGGUUGCUUCAAUGUUAGGCGGUUGGUUAUGACGGUGUACGGUGGCGCUGUAUGCCGGAGUGUAUGGUGACAUUGGAACUGUGUUAUUUUGUUUGCCGUUUAUUAUCCUCAUUCCGAUCAACAUCGGUUGAAGCGGUGUUAUCAUACAGACCGGAUGUUGUUGUGCAGGCUUACGGUUAUAGGUCUAGGGUGGUUUGAGGUGAACAAGGGUGGCGGCUGGAAAAAGAUAAUCAGAAUUUGUUGUUCCGACCGUGAUGUCGGCUGAAAAUGUUCGAAUGCGGCUAGGGUUUGUUUGUCAACAAAGCAUUUGCAUGGGCUAGGGUGCAUGAGGCCCAACGAUUGCACUGAUUCAUGAAUUCUCUUAUUAUUCCCUAGGCCCACAUGUUUGACGGUUGGUAGUUUGCUUUGCUGCUAAAAUUCCGAGUGUGCCCAUGAGUGAGUUUGGAUUUUUAAUAUCAAACACAUGUAGUUGGAUUAUUUUAUUCUUGGGCCCCACCUACACAUCACUACAUCAGGUAUGAAAUGUUUUCUUUUGUUUUGGUGGUAGUGAAUUGUUUGAAUUAAAUUACAACAUAUUGGGUGCCACUAAUUAAGUUGUUCAACAUUAAGAGCUUAAUGAUUUUUUUGCCACGCAUGAAUCCCAUGUUGCAUAGGCUAGGGGCUCACUUAUAAUUGGAACAAUUUGUUUUCUGGACUACAUAUAAAAUGCUUGGCUAGUGCAAGCAUCACUCAGGCUCACCUAAUGGAUGUGAUUAUUCUUACCGAUUGGGCAUUUUUUUAAAAGAGUGGUCUCUGUUAAAUUAGAUAUCAAGAUAACAUGUUGGAGCUUUAUAAUUUGAAGGAUUAAGGUUGUUUGAGUUUCUACUUGGGCUACGAUAUUCUAGGUAUGGGCCGGGUCUUAAAAGUUUAUUUGUGGGCCUAGAUAUUUGAUGCAAUUUUGGAGAGGAAAGUUAAUGAUAUACUUUUGGGCCGGGGAAUUCAAGAUUAAUUUUAUGGGCCAACGAUUUUAUGUUCUUUUUUGGGGAUUUUGGUUAUAUUUUGGAACAAACGUUGAAAAGGAAUUUUGGUGACAUAAGCGGUGGAUCAGGAGCUAAACGCAAUCUAACAGAAUUGAAGAUCCUCACAAUGGAGCUAAUUAUUUAAUUUUUAUCAUUGAAGUUUGAACCCUAUCAUAUGCCUAUUACAAUUGUAUCUUCAAAAGUAAGAUAAGGAGCUUUGAUCGACAAGAUAUAGGAGGGUCAACAUUUGCGGGAGAAAACGACAAUGAAGAUUUUGGGUAUUUAGCCGAUUUGUGAAGAUUCGAAGACGACAUCAGAUUUAUUUUUCAAGAUCAUUUGAAAAAUUGAUAACAUCAUUCACGGGGGACUAUUGUUGGGUCAAAAUGGAGAAUGAUGUUAUCAAUUACGCCGGUGUUGUUUAGCGAUUUUAUUGUUUAUAUUUUGUGACGUUUGUUAUUUGUAAUAGUCGGAUAAUUUAGCGACUUUAGUAGGUUUUCCAAGCAAGGGGCGGCUUGCUUGGAGGACAAGGCUCAGGGAAUAUAUAUAGAUUACUAGUCACCACUUGUUAGGGGUGCAUUAGUGAGCCCCACCCCGGGGGAGCUCACCUAGGGUGGAUGACUAUUUUGUGUAUUUUUUAUCACAUUCAAUGAAAGCAUCUUUGU
This 2063-nucleotide long non-coding RNA is filed under the name Helianthus annuus (common sunflower). Its description in RNAcentral is "hypothetical non coding rna". The record is from RNAcentral. Lineage: Eukaryota; Viridiplantae; Streptophyta; Magnoliopsida; Asterales; Asteraceae.